GGGAGUGUAGCUCAGUGGUAGAGUACUUGCCUGACAUAUAUGAAGCCCUGAGUUCAAUCCCCAGCACCA
This 69-nucleotide transfer RNA is filed under the name Neotoma lepida (desert woodrat). It matches the Rfam family "tRNA". From Rfam's summary of the family: Transfer RNA (tRNA) molecules are approximately 80 nucleotides in length. Their secondary structure includes four short double-helical elements and three loops (D, anti-codon, and T loops). Further hydrogen bonds mediate the characteristic L-shaped molecular structure. tRNAs have two regions of fundamental functional importance: the anti-codon, which is responsible for specific mRNA codon recognition, and the 3' end, to which the tRNAs corresponding amino acid is attached (by aminoacyl-tRNA synthetases). tRNAs cope with the degeneracy of the genetic code in two manners: having more than one tRNA (with a specific anti-codon) for a particular amino acid; and 'wobble' base-pairing, i.e. permitting non-standard base-pairing at the 3rd anti-codon position. Lineage: Eukaryota; Metazoa; Chordata; Mammalia; Rodentia; Cricetidae. The record is from Rfam by way of RNAcentral.